GACGAACGCUGGCGGCGUGCUUAACACAUGCAAGUCGAACGGAAAGGCCUCUUUCGGGCGGUACUCACGUGGCGAGCGGGUGAGUAACAAGUGAGUAACCUGCCCUUGACUUUGGGAUAAAUUCAGGAAACUGGCGCUAAUACCGGAUAGGAGAUCUUGCUGCAUGGUUGGGUUGGAAGGUUUCGGCGGUUGUGGAUGGACUCGCGGGUUAUCAGCUUGUUGGUGGGGUAGUGGCUUACCAAGGCGUUGACGGGUAGCCGGACUGAGAGGGUGACCGGCCACAUUGGGACUUAGAUACGGCCCAGACUCCGACGGGAGGGAGCUGUGGGGAAUAUUGCAAGAUGGGUGGAAGCCGGAUGCAGCACCGCCGGGUGCGGGAUGACGGUCUUAGUGUUGUAAACCGCUUUCGCUCAUGACGAAGCUUGGCGUGACGGUAGUGGGUAAGGAAGCAGCGGCUAACUACGUG
RNAcentral lists this ribosomal RNA (466 nucleotides) under uncultured bacterium. RNAcentral's name for it is "partial 16S ribosomal RNA". It matches the Rfam family "Bacterial small subunit ribosomal RNA", at positions 28 to 507 of the family's 1533-position model. The record is from RNAcentral.